UAGGACUCUCGGCAAUGGAUAUCUUGGCUCUCGCAUCGAUGAAGAGCGCAGCGAAAUGCGAUACGUGGUGCGAAUUGCAGAAUCCCGUGAACCAUCGAGUUUUUGAACGCAAGUUGCGCCCGAGGCCAGCUUGGCCGAGGGCACGUCCGCCUGGGCGUCAAGCAUUGAAUCGCCCC
This 176-nucleotide ribosomal RNA is filed under the name Peristylus affinis. RNAcentral's name for it is "5.8S ribosomal RNA". The stretch from base 4 to 160 matches the Rfam family "5.8S ribosomal RNA". From Rfam's summary of the family: 5.8S ribosomal RNA (5.8S rRNA) is a component of the large subunit of the eukaryotic ribosome. It is transcribed by RNA polymerase I as part of the 45S precursor that also contains 18S and 28S rRNA. Lineage: Eukaryota; Viridiplantae; Streptophyta; Magnoliopsida; Asparagales; Orchidaceae. The record is from RNAcentral. RNAcentral also lists the same sequence under 2 other names.